CCAAAGGCUCUUUUCAGAGCCAACCACCUUAUCUUUGAUAGAUG
Canis lupus familiaris (dog) is the source of this 44-nucleotide non-coding RNA. NCBI's taxonomy places the organism in Eukaryota, Metazoa, Chordata, Mammalia, Carnivora, Canidae. The record is from Rfam.